CGAGCCGCGCGGCCGCCCCCGCCCCAGCCCCGCUCCCAAGCCUGCCGCCCCGCCAGACCCGGCGUGGUCCGAAGGCCCGGGGGGCCCGGUGCAGCCCCGCGGCCGCCCGAGCGCUCCUUCCGGUCGGGCAUGGCGGGGCCGGAUCCGCGGGAGCUGGGAGGAGGCAUUUCCGAGCACUCGGGGCUGCCUGGGCCUUGCUCCGCAGCUCCGCCUCUCGGGGCUGCUGCCCGGGGAUCGGCCCGGAGCGGGCUCUGGACCCGGGAAACUGGACGCUGUGCACACAGCACGGCGGAGGAUGGAUGCGUGGUGAUCCAGGCGCUUGCCAACCAGGAAAUACCCAUCGCUUCGCGCAGGGCUCCGGCCUCUUCCUACCCUUCUCUCUCCCUCUCGCCCGAACCGGAUUUAAACCGUGGGGUGGGGACAGCUUUAGGGAAGUGGAGGUGUGAACGGUUUACACGCGGACACGUCUUCACCCUGCACGCACUCGGUCCCCAGGACUCCCUUGCAACUUUCUCCGCGCUCCAAUGGUAGACGCGGGGAAGUGUGGAAAGUCUGAUAAACCUAGAAGAUUGCUUGGCAAAUUGGAGAUUGUUUCAAGGUUUUUAUCUGUAUUGUGAUUUUUUUUUUUUUGCCCGAGUAGUUGUGUAUUUACUAAAUUUAAAAUAUGUGGAGAACGUUUGGCUGUAGCUGAUCGGUGACAAAAUGGGAGUACGCUGCUUUUAAGGGGCAGACGUUAGAUUUUGUUUGUAGUGAACAAAACUUUGUUUUGAUUAGCCAAUUAAAAACUCUAAAUUAGGCUGUUGUAUUUUCAGUCACUGCUAGAAUCUAAUUGCAUGUGUAUGCGAGUUUUUUUUUCCAGAGAAACGUUGAAUCAGUAACUUUUUUUCUGCGACACUUGUGAAUUUUCUCUAAGAUAUUUUUGGUUUCCUUUAAAUUUCAGCAAGUAUAGUAGUUUAAAUAGUAUUUGCCUUUUUUUUUUUUUUUUAACAGUUGAGUUUCCAUGUAAAAUCUGGAACUUGUUGUUAGUUUUAGAUCGACCAUAUAGACAGAAAUUUAUGUUCUACUUUUUGAACUUUCUAUUUUAUACUGCUACUAAGAGGGAAGACUUAGUUUAUAAUAUAAUCAGUUGUAAGUGUACAAAACUAGCAUAAUCCACAAGUUUUGUGCAUGGCAGUUUCAAUGAGAAAAAUUUUAAAGCUUAUUUAUUUUUAUUCUAUGUGUCAGUUUUGCCAGCAUGAAUGUAGUAUGUGUAUCAUGUAUAUUCUGAGUAUCUUAGAAGAGGGUGUCAGAUCCCCUGGAACUAGAGUGACAGAAAGUUGUAAGCUACCCAGUGUGAAUACUGGGAACCAAAGUUAGGUCUUAACUGCUUGAGCUAUCUCUCCAGCCCCCAGUUCAGUGAAAUUUUAUUGUUAGGAAUGCCAUAUUUAGUUACUUCAUUCGUUCAUUCAUUCAUUCAGUUCUGGGGAUUGAACUCAGGCCAUUCUGUGUGGUAUGUACAUAUUCCACCACUGAAUGGAACACUUCUUUUUUUGAAACAGGGUUUCCUCUGUGUAGCCCUGGCUGUCCUGGAACUUGUUCUUUAGACCAGGCUGGCCUUGAAUUCUGAGAUCCACCUGCCUCUGCCUCCAGAGUGCUGGGAUUGAAGGUGUGCCCCACCACAUCUGGCUACACCUGGAAUGUUUUAAUUUUUAUGUACAUAAAAUAUUUAAUAAAAGGAAACUGGUCCGUUCUUCCCCCCCCCCCCCCACACACACACAUUGGAGAUAGAGCCCAUGGCUUUGCAGAUGCUGUGCACGGCCGUAUCUCUGCACUCCACUCUUAUCCCAAAAGGAUGCGGUGUGAAGACACGGCACGUGUGCGAUGGUUGCCGCACUGAAGCGGGAGAGUAGGAGUCAGUGCACGUGUACAUUGAAACAGAUCCUUUACUUCUAAGUUUCUUAGAACUAUUUCUUGAAACCUAGGUCUUCACCUUGGCCAGAUAAUAGGGCUCUAAUCAAGUGACUUCUUUUUUCUUUUCUUCCAAGAAGGCAGAGUAGCUAGUGAAGAGAGAAUGAUACAGAAGGAGGAGACAAGUUGUCGAGGGAAGAUUGCUGAGUGAUGUUUAAAAAACCACUUGUGGUGUUGAGUUAUUAAUUAAAGAACAAAUUGCAGGAGCUAAAGCUUGCCCUUUAGACCAUUUUCUGCCAAGACCUUACUGAAGGAAUACUAAUAUGACUUGAAACAGUAUGUGCCAGGUCCUGUGUGGUUUUCCAUAUAUUAACUGACAUUAAGUGUAUGUUGAUAACAGGGAGGGCAGAGAAGUAGCUUGGUUGUGGUGUGCUUUCCUAACAUGUGCAAGACCUCAGUUUUACAUCAUAGCACCCUAAAAUAAAUAACCAUGGCAGGAGAAUGAUGCACCCCAACAGACUAGGAAAUAGGCCUCGAGAGGUAGUCUUGUGAAGUUGCACCCAGUAUGAAUAGAGGUGGAAUUUGACCCUAAGCCUUCUUCUAGUUAAUAAGUCUUUUGAAGAAACAAAUUUUGUGCAUGUUUUUGUAUAUGGGUUUGGCUGUGUGCACGUGUGCUUAUGGAGGUCAGAGGUUGGUAGUAAGUUUGUCCUCAGUUGCUCCCUGCCUUUGCUGGUGAGAGGCCAUCUGAAGCUCACUAAGUAAGCUAGCCUGGCUAGCCAGUGAGCCCCAGGGAUCCUUGCGGCUCUUCCUCCCAAGUGCUGGGAUACAGGUGUGCACCACCUCCCCUGGCUUCUUCCAUGGAUACUGGAGAGCUUUACCAACUGAUGUGUUUUCCUAGGCCCACAUUGGUGUCUUUAGUCAGCUCAGCUUGUUUUCUUGAGAACAGGACCAUAAAGCCCUGGAUGGAACUUUUAAGUUCACGAGGAAGUGUUUGGGUGAGUCUAGAUCCACAUUGUUUGUACAAGCCUUAGGAAGGCAUAGGGCUCGUGCACAGUGGACAGGUGGCCAAGCAUUCAUGCAAGACUGCACUCCCUUGUUUCAGUGCCACUAAGCCACCAUCUUGAAAUUAUUUAUGAACAAAGGAUCUUAUACUUUUCUUGCUUGCUAUUUUUAAAAUAUUUUUUAUUUGUAAAAAUUUAUUAUUUAUGCAUAUGUGUGCAUUUGCUCUUGGAGGCCAUAGAAGGGUGUUGGAUCCCCUGAAACUGGAGUUACAGGGAACCAAACUGUGUGGUCCUUAGGAAGAGCAGCUAGCACUCUUACCUGCUGAGCCAUCUCUCCAGCCGUUUUACUGUUGCUUUUUGGAGGAUGGAGUCUUAGUAUUGGCUAAACUGAUCAUGAAUUCUUGGUUGGACUUAAGUGAUUUUCCUGCCUUGGGUUUUUGAAUAGCUGGGGCAUGCAUCAUUAUCCCUGGUAGAUAGUUUUAUUUUAUAGUGGGUCCCCAAAAUUAGCUGGUUCUAAGAAGGAAUGACUGUCCUGUUAUCCCCUAUAGCCCCCACAUGCCCUUUUUUCUGUACCCACUUAACUAGGGCUUGGCUUACCAUUUGACCCACAUAGAGCAACUUUUUGGUUACACAUGGAUUUGCUUAUUUUCUUUGGUGGUUUGGGAAGUGAGUGUAUGUGCCGCAGUGGGCAUGUGGAGGCCAGAGGAAAACUUGUGGGAGAUGGUUCUUUCCUUCUGCAUGUAGACUCGGACAGGCUUAGCAGCCAGUACCUUUAUCCAUUGAGCUGGCCGGCCAUCUUGUUGGCACCCUUCUCCCACCCCCUGUAUUCUUUAUGUGCUUAUAUUUAUCCAGAGUUCUUUCAGCAUUCUUGGAAAAAUGAUGAGAAGGAAAUGAGCUGUUGACUUCUGGAGAAUCUGCUAAUUUUAGUUUUUAAAGGUUGGACUGUAUAGAUUAUAGGACGCUGUUUGAAAUUAAAAUUAACGAAUACUUUAAUUUAUCAAAGACGAUCUCUUAUUACAUCACUGAAGGGUCAUAAAAAGUUCUCUUUAAAGCAGACA
Molecule: long non-coding RNA, 3946 nt
Organism: Mus musculus (house mouse)
Lineage: Eukaryota; Metazoa; Chordata; Mammalia; Rodentia; Muridae
Product: predicted gene, 54045
Exons: 2
Source: RefSeq, a predicted model, not a curated record